CUCUGUCUUUGAAACAACCAUUUGUAGAACCCAGCCACCAAACUGUGAGAAGCCAAGCUACGGGGACAGGCCAUUGUAGGCACCUCAGUGGACAGUUGCUGCUGAGCUCCUGGCUGACAACCUUCAUCAACUCUCAGCCAUUAGAUUGACCAUGUCAUAUGUCCCUCCAAUUUGGGCCUUCAAAUGACUGGUCCCAGUCAUCAUCGGAUGGCAGCUAAAUGAAAGAUUCUGCUCUAUAUCCAGUGCUCAGAGUAGUGACAAAGUUGUCACAGGCUAACAGAAGCUCUUUUGUGACCCAAAAUAACAAAGGAACACUGCAGAGUCUCAAAUUGGAAAUGGAAAACAGAGAGAGACUUCUGUGAAUCUACUAAGGAAAAUUGAAUCUUGCAUCAAGAGAAUGUAAUUCUUCGCUGCACAGAGGAACAGGGAGGAACCAUUUAUGUUCUGAGGAACAAAAAGUCACUGAGUGUCUCCUACUUUCUACCAGUGUUUUCAUAUUGUACUGGAUAGAAAAUUUUUAAAAAAAUCUUCAUUGACCUGUUGAUAUAAGACACA
RNAcentral lists this long non-coding RNA (555 nucleotides) under Capra hircus (goat). RNAcentral describes it as "lncRNA (ENSCHIG00000001654.1)". The record is from RNAcentral. Lineage: Eukaryota; Metazoa; Chordata; Mammalia; Artiodactyla; Bovidae.